RNAcentral lists this ribosomal RNA (482 nucleotides) under uncultured bacterium. RNAcentral describes it as "partial 16S ribosomal RNA". It matches the Rfam family "Bacterial small subunit ribosomal RNA", at positions 30 to 507 of the family's 1533-position model. The record is from RNAcentral.
AUUGAACGCUGGCGGCAUGCUUUACACAUGCAAGUCGAACGGUAGCAGGCCGCAAGGUGCUGACGAGUGGCGAACGGGUGAGUAAUGCAUCGGAACGUGCCCAGUCGUGGGGGAUAACUACUCGAAAGAGUAGCUAAUACCGCAUACGAUCUAUGGAUGAAAGCGGGGGACCGUAAGGCCUCGCGCGAUUGGAGCGGCCGAUGUCAGAUUAGGUAGUUGGUGGGGUAAAGGCUCACCAAGCCAACGAUCUGUAGCUGGUCUGAGAGGACGACCAGCCACACUGGGACUGAGACACGGCCCAGACUCCUACGGGGGGCAGCAGUGGGGAAUUUUGGACAAUGGGCGCAAGCCUGAUCCAGCAAUGCCGCGUGCAGGAAGAAGGCCUUCGGGUUGUAAACUGCUUUUGUACGGAACGAAACGGCUCUGGUUAAUACCCGGGGCUAAUGACGGUACCGUAAGAAUAAGCACCGGCUAACUACGUG